CCUACGGGUGGCUGCAGUGGGGGAUAUUGCACAAUGGGGGAAACCCUGAUGCAGCGACGCCGCGUGGGUGAAGAAGCGCCUCGGCGCGUAAAGCCCUGUCAGCAGGGAAGAAAAUGACGGUACCUGAAGAAGAAGCCCCGGCUAACUACGUGCCAGCAGCCGCGGAAAUACGUAGGGGGCAAGCGUUAUCCGGAUUUACGGGGUGUAAAGGGGGCGCAGACGGCGAUGCAAGCCAGGAGUGAAAGCCCGGGGCCCAACCCCGGGACUGCCCUUGGAACUGCGUGGCUAGAGUGCAGGAGGGGGAGGCGGAAUUCCUGGUGUAGCGGUGAAAUGCGUAGAUAUCAGGAGGAACCCCGGUGGCGAAGGCGGCCUGCUGGACUGCAACUGACGUUGAGGCCCGAAAGCGUGGGGAGCAAACAGGAUUAGAUACCCUGGUAGUC
RNAcentral lists this ribosomal RNA (440 nucleotides) under uncultured bacterium. Its description in RNAcentral is "partial 16S ribosomal RNA". It matches the Rfam family "Bacterial small subunit ribosomal RNA", at positions 338 to 795 of the family's 1533-position model. The record is from RNAcentral.